RNAcentral lists this ribosomal RNA (345 nucleotides) under uncultured Symbiodinium. RNAcentral's name for it is "partial Bacterial large subunit ribosomal RNA". It matches the Rfam family "Bacterial large subunit ribosomal RNA", at positions 23 to 436 of the family's 2925-position model. Lineage: Eukaryota; Dinophyceae; Suessiales; Symbiodiniaceae. The record is from RNAcentral.
GGGGGAUGCCUUGGCUCUCAGAGACGAAGAAGGACGUGUUAAGCUGCGAUAAGCUACGGUGAGCUGCACAAAAGCGUUGAUCCGUAGAUUUCCGAAUGGGACAACCCGGCUAGUUGAAGACUAGUCACCGAAAGGAGUGAACGCGGGGAACUGAAACAUCUAAGUACCCGCAGGAAGAGAAAACAAUAGUGAUUCCGCAAGUAGUGGCGAGCGAACGCGGACUAGCCCAGUGGCUCAGACAAGCGAACCGGAACCGGCUGGAAAGCCGGGCCAGAGCGGGUGAUAGCCCCGUACGGGUAGGAGCUUGUUUGGGUCCUCGAGUAGGGCGGGACACGUGAAAUCCUG